UCCUCAGUAGCUCAGUUGGUCAGAGCAACCGGCUGUUAACCGGUAGGUCGUAGGUUCAAGUCCUACCUGGGGAGCCA
RNAcentral lists this transfer RNA (77 nucleotides) under Anaerobranca californiensis DSM 14826. RNAcentral describes it as "tRNA_Asn_GTT". It matches the Rfam family "tRNA". Rfam says of the family: Transfer RNA (tRNA) molecules are approximately 80 nucleotides in length. Their secondary structure includes four short double-helical elements and three loops (D, anti-codon, and T loops). Further hydrogen bonds mediate the characteristic L-shaped molecular structure. tRNAs have two regions of fundamental functional importance: the anti-codon, which is responsible for specific mRNA codon recognition, and the 3' end, to which the tRNAs corresponding amino acid is attached (by aminoacyl-tRNA synthetases). tRNAs cope with the degeneracy of the genetic code in two manners: having more than one tRNA (with a specific anti-codon) for a particular amino acid; and 'wobble' base-pairing, i.e. permitting non-standard base-pairing at the 3rd anti-codon position. Lineage: Bacteria; Bacillati; Bacillota; Clostridia; Eubacteriales; Proteinivoracaceae. The record is from RNAcentral. RNAcentral also lists the same sequence under 1 other name.